AACGAACGCUGGCGGCAUGCCUAACACAUGCAAGUCGAACGAGACCUUCGGGUCUAGUGGCGCACGGGUGCGUAACGCGUGGGAACCUGCCCUUAGGUUCGGAAUAACUCCCCGAAAGGGGUGCUAAUACCGGAUCAUGUCUUCUGACCAAAGAUUUAUCGCCUUUGGAUGGGCCCGCGUUGGAUUAGCUAGUUGUUAGGGUAAAAGCCUACCAAGGCGACGAUCCAUAGAUGGUCUGAGAGGAUGAUCAGCCACACUGGCACUGAGACACGGCCCAGACUCCUACGGGAGGCAGCAGUGGGGAAUAGUGGACAAUGGGCGAAAGCCUGAUCCAGCAAUGCCGCGUGAGUGAUGAAGGCCUUAGGGUUGUAAAGCUCUUUUAACCGGGAUGAUAAUGACAGUACCGAGAGAAUAAGCUACGGCUAACUACGUG
RNAcentral lists this ribosomal RNA (433 nucleotides) under uncultured bacterium. RNAcentral describes it as "partial 16S ribosomal RNA". It matches the Rfam family "Bacterial small subunit ribosomal RNA", at positions 29 to 507 of the family's 1533-position model. The record is from RNAcentral.